RNAcentral lists this ribosomal RNA (463 nucleotides) under uncultured bacterium. Its description in RNAcentral is "partial 16S ribosomal RNA". It matches the Rfam family "Bacterial small subunit ribosomal RNA", at positions 28 to 507 of the family's 1533-position model. The record is from RNAcentral.
GACGAACGCUGGCGGCGUGCUUAACACAUGCAAGUCGAACGGAAAGGCCUUUUCGGAGGUACUCGAGUGGCGAACGGGUGAGUAACACGUGGGUGAUCUGCCCUGCACUCUGGGAUAAGCCUGGGAAACUGGGUCUAAUACCGGAUAGGACCGCACUUUAGUGUGCGUGGUGGAAAGUUUUUUCGGUGUAGGAUGAGCCCGCGGCCUAUCAGCUUGUUGGUGGGGUAAUGGCCUACCAAGGCGGCGACGGGUAGCCGGACUGAGAGGUUGGUCGGCCACAUUGGGACUGGGAUACGGCCCAGACUCCUACGGGAGGCAGCAGUGGGGAAUAUUGCACAAUGGGCGCAAGCCUGAUGCAGCGACGCCGCGUGGGGGAUGACGGCCUUCGGGUUGUAAACUCCUUUCGCCAGGGACGAAGCGUUUUGUGACGGUACCUGGAGAAGAAGCACCGGCUAACUACGUG